AGUGAACGCUGGCGGUAGGCCUAACACAUGCAAGUCGAACGGCAGCACAGUAAGAGCUUGCUCUUACGGGUGGCGAGUGGCGGACGGGUGAGGAAUACAUCGGAAUCUACUUUUUCGUGGGGGAUAACGUAGGGAAACUUACGCUAAUACCGCAUACGACCUAAGGGUGAAAGCAGGGGAUCUUCGGACCUUGCGCGAUUGAAUGAGCCGAUGUCGGAUUAGCUAGUUGGCGGGGUAAAGGCCCACCAAGGCGACGAUCCGUAGCUGGUCUGAGAGGAUGAUCAGCCACACUGGAACUGAGACACGGUCCAGACUCCUACGGGAGGCAGCAGUGGGGAAUAUUGGACAAUGGGCGCAAGCCUGAUCCAGCCAUACCGCGUGGGUGAAGAAGGCCUUCGGGUUGUAAAGCCCUUUUGUUGGGAAAGAAAAGCAGCAGGUUAAUACCCCGCUGUUCUGGCGGUACCCAAAGAAUAAGCACCGGCUAACUUCGUG
RNAcentral lists this ribosomal RNA (492 nucleotides) under uncultured bacterium. RNAcentral describes it as "partial 16S ribosomal RNA". It matches the Rfam family "Bacterial small subunit ribosomal RNA", at positions 29 to 507 of the family's 1533-position model. The record is from RNAcentral.